CAACAAAGAACACUUCCUCUGUGCUAGCAAGGCUGCAGUAAAUUGCUAUUAAAACAAAUUCAGCCUCUUAGUUGCUACCAUCUUGCCAUUAGGUAAAGUUCCAGACCCAUUAAUCAACCUCUCUGUUUCUCUCAUCAACAUGGCUCACCCUUCCCAGCCUCUGAUAUCUCUCAUUCUACUCUCUACCUCUAUGAGAUCAACUUUUUAGUUCCCACGUGUGAGGUCCUAAUCAGGAUAUCACAUUGUAUUUACUAAGGAUGUCUCCUCAGACCCCUAUUGGCUGUAACAGAUUCUCAGUCUUUUCUUGUUUUCUAUGACUUUGCAGUUUGGAGGAGUACUAGUGAGGUUUUUUUGUAAAAUGUUUUUCAUUUGAGUUCUCGUGAUACUUUUCUCAUGGUUACAAAGGGGUUUGAAGUUUUGGGGGAGGAAGACCACAGAUUUCUGUUAAGAUUCCUGCAUUUGCUCAAGAUAUUUUUUCUUUGUGAGUGUGGUGUUCGUUGUAAUCUUUGGAAUAUAAAAUGAUACGUUUGAAGAAUGAUAAAUGUUUAGUUAAUACUCUUGAUUCAAUACAAAAAGUAUGGUAUUAGCAUAAUUCUUUAUGAGGAACAAGUGAACAUGUUGUAGUGAAUAACUGCCAGUGAAGACCAAGUUGGAUGUGUUUAUUUCUAGUUAUCUUUCCUUAGGGACAAAACAAGCUUGUGUGAUUAAACUUUUGUUAGUUUUUUAAAAACCUGUUAUGCAUUGGAAUAGUGAAUGCCAUUAUUUGAAAGAUCAAUGCUUUCCCAGGAAAACUGAGCACAAAGUCAUUUUCCAACAACUUUGUCUACCAUUAGUCACAAAAUAGAAUAUACAGACAUGGCAGGGCCAUCAUGGAGGUCCAGACAUAGGGUAUUCUGUUU
Long non-coding RNA from Callithrix jacchus (white-tufted-ear marmoset), 899 nucleotides. RefSeq lists it as uncharacterized. The record is from RefSeq and is a predicted model, not a curated record. Lineage: Eukaryota; Metazoa; Chordata; Mammalia; Primates; Cebidae.